GUACCUUGUGUAUCAGGGUUUACUGAAUUUUAUUAUUUAUUUUUAUUUCCCGAUUCUAAAAGGAGCUAUUAGCUUAUUUUGGUUGUUGUUUUAUUAACAUUAAUAAUAGGCUAAUAGUAAUGAAAUGUUAUUCGUCUUUAGGGGUUUCUGGUUUUUCAAGAAAUGAAUUUAAUUCAUACGUCUUAUUUAGAGUUUUAUUAUUUGUUUAUUUAUUUUUAUUUGGCGUUAAGAUUGGGAGGGAUUAGCUUCUUAUUUUAUUUUUAUAAUUUUUUGUUUUGUUUAGUCUUGUGGGUUUUAUAGUGAUUUUCAAUUUGAUUAUGUUAAAAUUUUAUUUGUUUUGUUCUUUUAUUUUUGUUUGUUUAAUUAUUUAUUGAAAUGUAUUCUUUAUCUUUGGUUUAUGGUUAGUAAUUAUUGUAGAAUUAGUAAAUUUGUUGUUAGGUUGUUUUAUUUGUGUUAAUUUUCUUUGAGGAACUAGGCAAAUUUCAUGUCCGCCUGUUUAACAAAAACAUCUUUUCUCGUUAGUUUUUGAAGUAUGGCCUGCCCGCUGACUUUAGUGUUGAAGGGCCGCGGUAUUUUGACCGUGCAAAGGUAGCAUAGUCAUUAGUUCUUUAAUUGUGAUCUGGUAUGAAUGGCUUGACGAGGCAUGGGCUGUCUUAAUUUUUAAUUGUUUAUUGAAUUUGGUCUUUGAGUUAAAAUUCUUAGAUGUUUUUAUGGGACGAGAAGACCCUAUAGAGUUUAACAUUUGUUAUGGUCCCCUUUCUGUUUGUGAGGGUUCAUUGGGCCGUUUAAUAUGUUUUGUUGGGGUGAUGGGAGGGAUUAAUUUAACCCCUCCUUUUUAUUAUUAUAUUUAUUUAUAUUUACUUGAUCCAUUUAUUUUGAUUGUAAGAUUAAAUUACCUUAGGGAUAACAGCGUAA
This 915-nucleotide ribosomal RNA is filed under the name Reticulitermes labralis. Its description in RNAcentral is "partial large subunit ribosomal RNA". The stretch from base 484 to 646 matches the Rfam family "Archaeal large subunit ribosomal RNA", at positions 1883 to 2090 of the family's 2987-position model. The record is from RNAcentral. Lineage: Eukaryota; Metazoa; Arthropoda; Insecta; Blattodea; Rhinotermitidae.